RNAcentral lists this unclassified non-coding RNA (329 nucleotides) under soil metagenome. RNAcentral's name for it is "partial contains 5.8S ribosomal RNA, internal transcribed spacer 2, and large subunit ribosomal RNA". The stretch from base 1 to 120 matches the Rfam family "5.8S ribosomal RNA", at positions 35 to 154 of the family's 154-position model. The record is from RNAcentral.
GAUGAAGAACGAAGCGAAAUGCGAUAAGUAAUGUGAAUUGCAGAAUUCAGUGAAUCAUCGAAUCUUUGAACGCACAUUGCGCCCCCUGGCAUUCCGGGGGGCAUGCCUGUCCGAGCGUCAUUACAACCCUCAAGCUCAGCUUGGUGUUGGGCCCCGCCGCCCCGGCGGGCCCUAAAGUCAGUGGCGGUGCCGUCCGGCUCCGAGCGUAGUAAUUCUUCUCGCUCUGGAGGUCCGGUCGCGUGCUCGCCAGCAACCCCCAAUUUUUCUAUGGUUGACCUCGGAUCAGGUAGGGAUACCCGCUGAACUUAAGCAUAUCAAUAAGCGGAGGA